Non-coding RNA from Rattus norvegicus (Norway rat), 22720 nucleotides. NCBI's taxonomy places the organism in Eukaryota, Metazoa, Chordata, Mammalia, Rodentia, Muridae. The record is from RefSeq and is a predicted model, not a curated record.
GGAGGGGUGAGGCAGGGCCUGAAGCCAUCAGGAGCCAAGGAAACUGAAGUGUGGGAACGGCCUCCAGACGUGAGGGUGCUGCCCGGCUUCCCCAAGGACUUGCAUGAGAACUGUUGAACCUUGUGUUUUUCAAACGGAGGGGCUCCAUAUGACCAGAGAGAAAACUGCAGCAGAAAGGAGGAAGCCGGCUCUUUCCUGGAGACCACACAGGAAGUAACAGGUGGUAAAAGAAUUCAGAGAGAGAGAUGCAGAUGAUCUUUCUGUCUCAUUGCCCUUGACCACUGUUUUAUCUCCCCACUUUGGUCUUUCAUUAUUCCUUCCAUAAAUCUUUUAUUUUCAGGACUUUAUUGUAUAAUGGUCACCAGGGAAAUCAAAGGAUGAUAACUUCCAAGCCUCUUUCUCUGGAAAAGUUGACCACCCCGUGGGUUAUAGAGUCACUAAUUUCCUUGCUGAUAUCUUUUCUCUUUCCUCUCCCUUUGGCCCCUUUUAAUUAAUUAAUUUUAAUUUGUUUAAGCAGAAUCUUAUUCAUACCCCAAGCUGGCCUGGAAUUUACUAUGUAUCCCAAAUUGGCCUUGAACUAGAAGGCAAUUUUCUUUUCUCAGCCUCCCAGGUGCUGGGAUUACAGGCAUGUGCCGCCAUAUCGGUUCCUUACUAACCUGACCGAGCACUUCUGGGACCCAGGUUUUCAAUGUCUUAUAUGUGAUAAUUUAUUAUGCCUAAGUUGAUGCUCUUACCACUUUCCGUAGACGAAAAAAUGCAAGCCUGAGGUGAAAUAACUUCCCCUAAGUAUUCAGGGAGUCACCUAAAAGUUCAUUACUUAGGAAGGAUAAUUUACUCAGGCUGGAUGAAAGAGAGCCUCAGACUUACCUGACUUAGUGAAAUGUCUAUACAUAGCACUAAACUAUAUCAACAUGAAGAAUGCACAGAUAAAGGGACCUCCAAGGCACUUUAAGAGCUUUGGGUUAGAUGCUUGUAACUUUUCCCAGAGAGGGCUUCUUGAAGAAUUCUAGGACUAAGAAAACUUAAACGUGUCAAGUUUUUGUGGUAACUUAGUCCUUUGCGUUACACUAACUGGACCCAUAACUGGGCAGGUGCUUCUGCCAAACACAAGCUCCUUGGCUAUUCCACUGAAUAUCCUAAUGGUCCUAAGAAUCAAGUCACAGGCCUUGCACAUCCUAGAGAUGUACUCUACCACUGAACUACCCCCAGCCCUUCCAAUGGCCAUCCUGAUUCAACAGAUCAGAAACAGGUUUCAGACACAUUUGCAUGUGUGACAAACUCUAAAUGUAGUUCUCGAGUUCCUGACAUCACAGAAUCUCAAGUGCAUCGAUAAGCUCUAAAUUUUUUUCCAACAUGGAGGUUCUGCAAGCUAAUGUUUCCUAGUGGAUACGCCAUAAACCACUCAACCAGAAAUAGGAUCAGCCGUCUUGAUCUUUGGAAAACUAAACAGUGGAGAAUUUACAUUUUCAAGAUUGUCUUGUCUCUACCCCAAUGACUCAACUUAAAGCCAUAGCUGGUGCAUAAAUGGGUGAGCUGGUGGUGUUUCAAUAACAUUUUGUUUGCAGAGUGGGUGGUAAACCAGAUCUGGCCUGUAGAUUAUAGCUUGCUGACCUUAAACUGUAAAAACCCAGGUUACAAAAAUAAGAUUAUGAAAGCUGCAAACCAUAUGACUUCAUAAAUAUUGAUGAUAUAUUAGCAUUGUGAGGAUUCUAAGGCAUGAGAAGUAAAAAAAAAAAAGAAAAAGAGGAAAAAAAGAAAAGUAAUUGGUUUAAUUUUGAACAAACUUAAUUUCUCAAAUUUACUUAACCAUACAACUCUAUUAGGAAAUAUUAACAUUCUCUAGAACUGUAAUUACACUCUUUACAUUCCAGAGAACAUACUUUAGAAACCAUCUUUCAUGUCUUAUACGUAGGCAGUUUUUAAGAACAAUUUGUAUUUGGUGCUUCAACUUUGCCCACUGGAGGCAUGACCUCAGAUUAAAAUGAAAACACCCUUGGUAUAAAUUCCUUUGUCUAGUUUUCUCAUCAGAGGUACUACUGGCUUUGUUUUAAUGCUUUUUUGUUUUUGUUUGUUUGUUUGUGAUGAUUCUUGUUCUGUUUCUAGAGAAGGUCUCUGAUUCCUGGGCUCACAUGAUUGUUCUGCCUCAGUCUGCCAAGGGUCUUGUGUUACAGGUACAGGUAUGCAUCUGACCAGGAAUGUUUUUCAAAAUGAUGAAACAGAGGAAACUGGAUUAUUUUGAAAGGGACAAAAGACGUAUGAAAAGGAAAACUAGAAAAUGGGCUAAACAAUAAUAGACUUAUUAAGCACUUGCUGUGCUCACUGCCAUAGUAAAAGCUUUGAUCUAGAUUUGCAGUUCCCAACUAGAAGAGUUUUACUACCUGAGGGACAUUCAUCAAGGAGUCAUUUCAAAUUGCUGUGACUGGGCAUGGCACAGAGCAUGAAGACCUAGUGGCAGAAGCCAGCGAUGCUGCUGGUACCUACAGGACAGUGUCAACUGUCCCUAGUGCCAGUGACAAGAAGUUUCUCUGAUUUCUGCCAUGCUGUGAAGCUGUAAGGUGAAACAUAUUUGUACGUUUGAGACAUUUAAAUGGCAAAACAGAAACAGGUGGGCAGCCAGACUUAAUCCUGUUGCCUUAAGGCAUCUCAUAGAGAGUAACAGUGUGAGCAUAAUUCGUAAGAAUGCAAGUGCAAAGGCAAACGACCUCAGUGGCUGUGCACUGCCUAGGACUCCAUAAGUUCCUGCCUUGUUCUUUCACAUUACUCCUCCCUCCUGCCACUUCCUCUCUUUGCUCUUCACCCCCAUUUUUUCUACUGCUGAUGCAUCAGGCAACUGUCCUAGAAUGCUGACCAGCACACAGUGUGUCUACAAUGACCACUGAAACACUCCUUAUUAGAACCCUGCAUUCCAUCUGAUGACAGCCCGACCACUUACAGUGAAUUACCUUUGUGACAUUAGGCCAGUGAUUUUAAUCUACAGGUCUUGGUUUCACCUUCUGGAAUGGGAACAAUGCUUAAUUCAGUCAGCUCCACUCAGACAUAAGCCUUAGGCUCAAUACUGUGCCUGGAGAGUUGGGGAGAUCCCAGGAAUGCAAAACCUCCCAGGGAUACUAUGUCCCUGGUGACAGGAUCUUGUGGGAGGAGACUUUUUUUUUAUAGGCCAGCCCAGCUCCAGUUUCUCCAGCAGCUAGAAGAAUGCUGCAGAGUGUGGGCUUAAGGGGGUCUGGACAGCAUCACCAAAUGACAGUCAUUAGCUCUGAUGCAUGGCCAGGGGAUAAAACGAGCCAAAAGUACAGGAAUGGCAGCACAUUAGGAAGUGAAAAGGUCCUAGAUUCACCUCCGGGAAGACACUGAGGAAGACUAUGAUCAAGAUGCCUUAGAGGUAUCAUCAGGGCCUUGGCUCUCAGAACAACUAGUCACUCUCCUGUCUGUUAAUGAGGAAACGUGAAGCCCUCAUGCUUCAUUUUUAUCAUGUCUAAGUUGAGCGAUCCAUUUGAGACAGUUUGUGAAUAAAAAGGCUGUUUCUGGAAACACGAUGCCUCAUGGAUUCUCACAAAACUCUGAAAGCAGUACUCAGAAAAUAAAAGCAACAGAAUAGCAGGAGUCUUUCAAAUGGCACUUCCUGGCUGCAGCGUCUGGGGUAUGGCUGGGAGUCUUGAAGCUCCCAGCCACAAGAGGUUAGGCGGUCCUCUCUGCCUUUCAUCUUUUGCUCCUUUUGGUGACAUCAGCUCCUUUGUUCUCUUUCCAUCUAUACCGCUCUGGCAGUUCAAUUAUUUCACAGAGAGAGGAGAGAUGCUCCAGGAAUUGGAAAUGACAAAAGAGAAGCUACAAUCAUGGUGAAACUUUCUUUUCAGAAUCUCCGAGUCUCUCGGAAAUGAGCAAUUGCUGAGUACUGCGCGCUUGCUACUCACAAACACCAGGAACUGAAGAGUAAAGAAAAAAUCAUGGAAGAAAGACUCUGAAGUCACUGGUUCCUAUUCCUAACAUUAACAAAGGAACAAGAAAUAGUGCGAUGUGAGUGUGGGUAAAAGCUGGAAGACACUAGGUAGGGUGCUAAGUAGGGAACUUUAGGCACAUCCCCAGGGAGAUGCAUAGUGAUUGCCCAACUCAUGAAUGGCUGAACCACAUGAGUUCGUUCAGUUAUUUCAUAGCGAGAGCUAUGUCCCAUGUGAUGGAUAUUUGUGGCAAGUCCUAAGUUAUUUGUGCCAGAUUCUCCCUUUGCUUUCUACUGUGUUUCCAGAAGGAGAAUAGAGUGAAAAGGCAUACUUGGAAUAGAGAGAAAACCUGAUGUUCUUGGCUCCACCCGUGAUUAACUGGAUGCUUGUGGACCCAUGGUCUCACCUCUCUAGGAUUUAGUUGUCUUAAUCUUCCAGUGAGGAGAUUUUAUUUAUCUUACAGGCUUCUUGGGAGAAAUGAAGGAAAUGGUGCAUGCGAGGUAUUUAGAUUAUAUCGGGCACUUAAAAGUAGCAACUUUGUUCUCCAGUCAAAUGAAAAUGAAAUUAUUUCGAUACCCCAGUAAACUAUGUUUACUGGAGAUACCUGAACUGGGGAAAUGGUUCAUGAUUAAGGCACUUCCUGUAUGAGUAGAAAGCGCAUCGGAGGGAAAGGGAAUAACACUCGAAAUGUAUAUAAGAAAUACUCAAGUUAAUAAAAAAUAAAAAAAAAAAAGAAAGCGCAUCGGGCAGUCUCCACAGAACAUAUCUACUUGUGGGAUAGAUGUGGUGGCCUGUUUACAAUCCAGCCUCUAAAGGCAAAGACAAGAUUCCUAGAGUAAGAUGUCUAGCAAGACUAACCUUUCAGCUAGCUGUGGGUUUGACCUAGAAACCUGCCUGUAAUAGAAUACUGUGUUUAAGUUCAUGACCAAGGCAGGUUACAGACGGAAGAGUUUGAGUUUGUGGUUUUAGAGGAAUAAGAGCUCAUGAUGGUGGGACACAGGCAUGGCAGCAAGUUUAGAGGCUGAGAGCUCACCUCUUGAACCCCCAGCACAAAAUAGAGAACGAAGACUGAAAAUGCCAUGGAGUUUUUAAACUCCCAAAGCUCUUUCCAAAGAGUCACCAAACGAGGACCAAGUAUUCAAAUAUUUGAGCCUAUGGGGGACAUUCUCAUUCAAAUCACCACUACAUUAAUAAAUAAGAUGAGAGAGAAAUUAAAUAAGAAUCAUAUAUCGCUCUGGUUUUUCACGAGUACAGACCCAAGAAGGAGAAACAGAAAGAUACAUGACUUGCCUCCUAAAGACAGUGAGCUUAUCUUUGGUGGACCUGGUCAUCAGUGGGAAACCAGAUUGAUCAUCGUUUUCACUUGCUGCUUGACUCAGGUGGGUGUUCAAAGUAGGAAGUCACAGUGCAAAGCAAGCAGCUGGAGUGAGCAGUGCACUUACAGGAAUCCAGAUUUGAUUGCAGAUGAAUGACUUUUAAGAAAUUCUUGUAAACACAGGGUUAAUCUCCCAUAGGAGCACAGUCUGAUCUGGUUCAUGUUAUCAUUUCUGGGUUUCCUAAAACCAGUGACUCAAAACCAGGCUGCCCUUUUAGCCUGGGAACUCUGUAAAGCGGAAACUGGUGGGGGAAAGAGGUCCUUUGUGAUUCGUCUCCAAAUGAAUCACUAGCGAUUAGAGCCAAAUUCAAUUUUGGAUUCAUUCAGCUAAGUUACCUUGAACAGUGGAAGGACCCUGCCUUUCCCUUUUCCUCUCUUUGUUCCCCUCCCAGCCAGGGCUCCCUCCCUCCACAACACCCUUCACCUUUCACACAAAGACCUUCAGAAUUCUGAAAUUUCAGUGGCUCCCCCGGGACAAUGCAGGUGGACGCCCACUCCAGCACUACCCGCUACUCUUUCCUCACAGGUGCUUGUUGACUAAGUUUCCCCUCUGCACAGCUGUGAUACUCUGUUUUUCCUCUCUUUCAGUAACCUCCAUGAGUCAGGUACUCACCAUUGUCGAGGAGAGUUAGCAAACACUUGGGGACUAGUUAGUCCUCAUUGGUUAGUCCUCAUUAGUCAUUGAGAGUUGCUGGUUAACAGUGUUAAGGGCAUGGAAAGCCCUGCACAUCACCAAGCAGGCAUUCCUAAUGCCUAGAAAACCUAGGCAGAAGAUGUAACCAACAGAGGUAUCUGACAAUUACCUGAGGACAGGCUCCUCUGGGACUCUAUGUGACCUCUUGGGGAUGUGCUGGGCAAUUCUUUCCUAUCUUCCUGCUUUCCUUUUGUCCUAAGACAAGACACUUAGUGCUUUGAGAAUGGCAAGGGUAAUUCUGAGGCAGGCUUCUAUGGUUUGUUCUCUAUUCCAAUUCAGUCAACUGUCCCUGAAUAUGGGACAGUUCUGAGACCUACGGGGCUUAUUUUGGCCCCAUCCUUGCCCUCUGAGAACUGCCAUCCAUGGGGGAAUGGAUUUGAGGAUAUCUGCAUUAAAUCAUAUCUGCCUUCUUCAAUGCUGGCUGGCUGAUUGCACCCUACCUUCGCAUGCUUUGCCGUAAAAUCAAUAGACAGACUAGCAUUUUCCCACCAGUUUUCUUCAGCUAUCCCCUCUUUAUUAAGUAUAGUUUAAUCCUAACCAGUAUGCACUGGGAAAUUAUAGGUAGCUGCAUGUCUGCACUAUUAUAUGUACACAUUAAAAGAUAUAUACAGUAAAACACAUACAAAUAAAUAUAAAGACCUAUUCAUCUGUGUACCUUAUACCUAGAAUACUUCCAUCUCCCCCAUGGUGUGUGUUGCCCAUAGGAGAACUUGGUCAUACUGUGUGCCUUGUGAAGUUAUGUGUUAGAUGUCUUACAGAGGCUGAGGCAGUAGGUCCAGGGAGGAGGGAGAGGAGAAGAGGUGUAGCAGACUUCCCUAAGAGCCUUAAACUGAGAGUCACAACAUGAACAGGAGAUUGCUAGAGAUUCCCAGUUGGAAAGUUGCUCCAAAUGAAAGGAACACAGACUUUUAGCUUUAAAAUACUAGAGGAGGGAGUAUGGACGGUAUAUUUAAGCAGUCAACAUUUUUUGAGUGCUUAGUUUAAAGUCACAUGUCUAUCAGUUUUCUCUGUGAGGCUGAGAUCAUGUACUAGGAAAUUCGAUAAGUCCCUGUCACGUAGUUUACACUUUGGUUAAAUAGUCACCACACACACACACACACACACACACACACACACACACACACACACACACACACGGAUACAGUGCUCACUAUUUGUGGGCUCAUAGCCUUAGAUUCAGCCAAUCAAAAAAGAAAGUUACAUCUGUACUGAACACAAGGGGACUUUGUUAUUAUUGGGUUGUCAUUUCUUCUAACUGAAACAGUGUAACUCUGUCCGUUUAUAUUAUACUGGGUAUGAGAAGUAAUCUGGAGAUGUUGGAAGUGGACGGGUAGAUGUGCACAGGUUAUAAGCUUGAGUAUCUGCAAACUGUCAUAUCCGUGGGGGUUGCGAGAGUAAAUUCCCUGCAGACACAGAAGGAAAAGUGUACAGGCAUCAGAGAUAAGCAAUUCAAAGAGAGGCCACACUUAAGGACCAGAAUAGCACUACUGAUAAGAGUUAGUGUGAGCUCAGACGGGGAGCUCCCAUAGAAGCCCCAGACUGUGAAAGGCAUCCUGGAAGCUGGAGACCAUGAGGAGUGGGGUGGAAUUUGGAGAGCAGAGUAAACAAUACUUCAGGCUGGAGGAACGGAUGAGAAGAAACAGAGGACAGACAGCAGAACUGAGAUGACAGAACUAUAGACCCUGCCUCCAUCCCUCACAGCCAGUCAGAUGCAGAUGGUGGGAACAGUUUCUAUCCUAAGCACUUAACCCUGGGUUCUGGCUUGCUGUUAGGGUAUCUGUGAAUUUUGUGAAUUCUUAUGUUCAUUGUGGGAGGGGGACAGUGAGCCUCUCUACUUUUUUGUCAUGGCCUCCAAAAUUCUCAAGAGUUUUUCGGUGUCUUUGGUUUCAUUAUCCCAGCCUCCUAUUUUGUUUCUUUCGAUAUCUGAUUUCUUUUUCUUUCCUUUCAUUACAAAAAGAAUUCAAUUUUCACAAUCUGGAAAGAAAACAAAAUUUCUCAGAAUGAUUAGAUUAACUUGCCCAAGGAUGCUCGGUAAAAUCAGGCCUCUGAGGUCAAGGUUUAACGCCCACCCGAGCUCUUUGCCAAACUCUGUGCUUCCUCACAUGGUUUCCAUGUCCUCCUUGGCUCAGAGUGUUGUGUCCCCCACCAGGACUUUAUCAUCUCAGUUCAGUAAAACACUAGUUGGGUAUUUCUCCCGGUCACUGACCAUGACUUGUAUGCACAUUUUUUCCCUUUGACACUUGGCCCCGUUACCCGUGUGCUGUCCUCAAGAGUCACUGGAACUUGUGGAAAGUGAGAUGGCUUUCCAGGCCUUCAGUGCAACCCUUGCUUAUAGCAGAGUAUUUCCUUGCACUAGUAAGGUAUAAAGCGAUGUUCAAAAGCAGCACCACCCUUUAAAAACUGAGCCUACUGGCGAGUCCUCUGCUGCUUCACAAUUAUUUACCGACCACCUUUCCUUCUUUCUUCAUUGUGCAACGGCAUGAUGAAGACGAUAAGCAAAGCUUAUCUCCUCCCCUCCUCCUGUCAUUGAACAACUCAUGGCUAGCCUGGCUUCCUCUUAGCCCCUUUCUUCCACAGCCCCUACUCAGAUUGUUUUGUAACCAAUGGUAUACAUCAUACAAUUUUGCCUUUAAACAUUUCAGCAUUGUUCAGGGUUUUAAAUAGGCUUUGAUAUAUAUAAAUAGCCCGGGGCACUUGCCAGGUCACAGAAAAGUUUGAUGUUCUAGAAUACCACAUGGGGCAGUUGGAUCGGAGCAGCCCGGAGGUUUUCCUCUGAAACAUGUCUUUGUUCCGUUGCGUUCGUUAAAGUCUCUUGGAUUGUGUGAACUACCGUUUGAGUCAGCUCUGUGGAAUUAACUGUACAAGCUCAGUUCUGUUAUCCAGCUUGUUCUGUAAGUAAGUCCGUGUGGGCUCCAGCACUGACAGCAUGGUAAGGAAUCCUUUGAACAUAAACUGAAUUUCACGUUCACUUACUCACAAUUUCACCCCUGAGAGGCUCAGAUGGACGCAGAAAGUAGUGCCCAAAGACUUGAACUUCGUGGGAACAUGCCCAACACACACUGGGACACCCACCAUCCAUCUCAGCUCCACAGGUAGAGUAGACCACACCCACACACAUCUGUACUACAGCUAGGGUUUGGAGAAGCCCCUUCCACCACUUUCCAGUAACUAACAGGCAGCUCCUUGCCCACACUCACGUCCACAGGCAAAUGCCAGGUCAUUUGCAGAGCUGACUACAGUGUGUGUUAAUGUACUCACAUAUCUACAAAACAUUUAACGUGAGCUACAUUGUACUAGUAUUUAAUCAGAUUUUUAUCAUCUUGCUUUCCUUUCUGUAAUGUAACUCUAACACAUUUUUGAGUGUUGUUCAUAAAUCCUGGGUUUCUCAGCCUUAGCCCUACUGAGUUGCCGGCGGGGUAAAUCUUUGCUAGGGAUCAGUGGAGAGCCUGUGUAUCACAGGACAUUUAGUAGCAGUCUGUCUUGGCCUUUAUCCACCACGAAUGCUAAAUUCUGAUCUCCCCUACCACACCUUAGCAACCAAAAAAAAUUAUUAUAGAUAUUGUAAAUAUCCCCUAGGAAUAUGGGUAAAAACCACAGAUUUUUCUGAGUACCUGGAAAUGGUUGCCUUAAUUCUGAUUCCUAUAAUCUUUGUGGUGUUUAUCACAUUGCUCUGCAUAGUAUGAUGAGUUUUAGGACUAUGUGUGCACUGUAGAAGAGCUGAUUCAAAGCUUUGCACAAGUAUCUUUGCAUAGGUCCUCAAGCUAACACAACUUAUGGCUUGCUAUAGUAGUCAUCUACAAGCUGUACAUCAAGCUUGAAAUGCAGACUCUCAACUUAAGAUCAUUGAUUGAUCCUUAUUUUCAAAGUCUGUAGACCUUGAACCAUACCAAUGUUGGCAUUUAGACUAGGCUGUGCCUCACAGUUACCUGACAACAGCCAGGUACGCCUGACUCACUAUAAAAGGGGCUGCUUGCCCCUCCCUCUCUUGCUCUCUUGUUCUUGCUCUGUCCUCUCCACUACUGAUCUCCCUCCCCCUCCCGCUCACUCUCUAUGUGCUCGUGGCUCCUCUCUCUCUCUCUCUCUCUCUCUCUCUCUCUCUCUCUCUCUCUGCUUUUCUCUCAACUCCCCUCCCCAUGCCCUGAAUAAACUUUAUACUAUACUGUCUUAUGGCUGGUCCCUCAGUUGGGGGAAGGGAUGCCUCACCAUAGGCCUCAUACGCAUCCCCUUCCCCCACACCUUACCUCACCUCCACCAAACAUAUUCCUUCUCUAUUUUUAUAAAACAAACACCAAGUUUCUGACAGCAAUAGCUUCCUACCAUUUACUGAGACAACUCACUAUGCUCUACCCCUCACAACCUAUGUCACAUUUAACCCUCCCAAGAGCUGCUUCUGGGAGUCAUUGUCCAUCACUCCUAAUCCCCAGGUCUUUAAUAGACAAAAACUCUAAGGAAGAAUACGAGACCCUGAAAAUGGAGCUAUCUGCUUGAUGUCCACCCUCGACCUAAAAAAAACAGAGGCAUCAAGCCAGGGUCCUAAACUAUCUUUUCUGUCCUAGGAACCUCUUCCCUUAAGGAUACAAGCAGCUACUUCUUAAGUACCUGUGAACAUUUCCAAGGUAGCACAUAUUCAGAAGAGUCAGAAGUUCUUACCCAAAGCAGCUAAGUGAGACAAAAAUCAUCUCAUAGGGUUAUAUAGAAACUGUAUGCUACUGCUACAAAUAAGACAACAGUAAGGGGACGAAUUAUAUAGAAAUGUGCUCAUAUGUUAAGGGUUUUUUAUGUUUAUUAUUAUUGUAUCUGUGUGUGCUGACCGUGUCAGUGAGGUUGUAUGCAUAUCACAGCAUUCACAUGGAGGUCAGAGGGCAACUGUCAAGGGCUGGCUCUCUUUCCACAUCCAGGUAACCAGGUUCGCAUGGCAAGAACUUUAAGACAUUGAGCCAGCUUGCCGCUAUUAUUAUUAUUAUUAUUAUUAUUAUUAUUAUUAUUAUUACAAACAAACCCAACAAAAAACAAACCAAACCGACAACAGAAACCUUGUUUGUUGACAUAGGAUUACACACGUCCCAGGUUGGACUUGAACUUACCAUGUGUGACAUCACCAGGUGUUCUCAUGCUUCCUUCAUCCAUCGGCACACGUACCUGCCUCCACAUUAAAAAAGAAACACACACACACACACACACACACACACACACACACAAAGGCUAUCUCAAAUGAAGAAGCAAGAAGAACAGGUUUUUAAAACAACUUUAUUUGAUCUAACUAUAGCUUUUGUAUAAGUCCAGCCAUCAUACAUUACAUAUAUGUUGGUGGAUUUUUUUUGGUUAAGAAGCAUUUUAGAGAGGAGGUUUAUAGACAAAAAAUUUGCACAAGAGAUAAUAGCAGAGGAACUGGAUACUUAAUGAGUUCAAGUUGGAUUAAAUUCUAGAAUACAGAAAAGACUUGCAGAUGUGAUUACAAAACCACUGUCAGUGUGCUUAAAGAAAUCAGAGACUGGGAUGGAAGCCAGGCUAUUGGAGACAAGAAUAUGCUACUCCAGUUUUCAAAAAUGAGAAAAAUGUGGAUUCUAAAGACUAGGGGGAGAUGAUCGUAGGAUACGGCAUCCAAUUACCCACUCGUAUUUUAGGAGACUGUAGGAAGGGGGUUUGGCAGGGAUGGCCAGGAGCCUGCAGGGCUCCAGUCGCUCCUCUGCCCUAAGCUGCUUCCUCUUUCAGUGGUUUACUUUUGAUAGAUCAAUAAAAUAUUCCAGACAGUAUGCACUUUUAUUUUAGCAAGCUCAUUUGAUACACAGAUGUGUGUUUUUUCCUUAUGAGAGCAAGGCUGAAAUGGUGACUCAGUGAAGGGAUCCACAGCUCACUGAACAAUGAAGAAUCACUCAAAGGCUCCAAACUGCCUCUCCUGGUCACUCUUCUAUGCUAAAUACCUGGGACACACAACCCAAACAGAUGUCCACCCACUCCGGUUAGUCUUACCUCCAAAAGGAGAGCUCUGUGGGCUUCCGGAGGAAGAGUCAUAUUCUUGAAGACACACAGCAUCUCAGUGGCUGAGUUGGGGUUUGUCUAUUUGACCCCCUGGGCUCUCUAUUGCCUUCUUAAUAAACAAUGGGAUUGAAUUGAAAAUUUUAAUUAAGGCUGUGGUUUUCCGUCCCAGGCAGUAUGUGGAUAAAGUCUCCUCAGAAUUAGCCACCCUGUGCUGGGCUCCAAUUCCUCUCCUUUGCUUGGAAAUGGGCGGACUUUACAACUGGUGUAGCUGGGUCAGACUCCCUGAGGAACCCCAAUCCUUUCUUUCCAAAAACAGCAUCUCUAAGACCAGUGUGAGGUUCAUGUUUUGCCCGAAUGAGAAAGAUUAAUCCCAUUUAUUUUACUAACAGAUCUUUGGGGAUAAAAAUUCUCCCGGCUCUAAAAAUAAAGGACUUCUGUCUGUCUUAAGCAUCCUCCCAUAGCACUUUGUUUUGGAAGUAAAGAAAAGAGGGGAAAGUUGAAAAAGGAAGAGCAGAGGGGUAAUAAAGAGACAGGGGGAGGAAAAUUUUAAGACAGGAAAGGGGGGAAAGGAAGAGACACACAAAGUGAGGAAUGAGCUGAGGAAGCCUCUCCCUUGUGUGGUGUAACCAAAUUCCUUCUCAAGUCAGCAGGGCAGAAUUAAAUGGUUGCCGUCCCCCAGCUGUUUGGUCUGAGAUGCUGUGUAAACAAGCCCGCCCCUCAUCUGGCCCCCAGGAGGCUGGAACCUCGGGAGGGAAUCCUGCUCUGCCAAAACCACCAUGAACUCUGCAGUGGGGUCCCUCGCCUGCUUAGUCAGCAGGAGCCGCCAGAGGAAUUCAACUGUUUCCAAUUUUGUUUCUUCUCCAUGUCAAGAGCAGAGUGCUCAGGUGAGGGUGACGUCCUGGGACAAUCAAGGUCAGCUCCGGCUUGGAAAUCAAUCGGGACGAGGUUCUUAGAUCCUUCCUGACAUUGUAGAGUCCAAGUUUGUGGCAAGAUUAUUCCACACUGGUGUCGUCCAACGCGCACAGGGAGGAUUUGACUGGGCAGAAGCCCGAGGCUUUGUGUUCUACAGUGCCUUCUGUGAUUUUCUUUUCUUUCACAAGAGAAUCCUGGCAUAUUUGUAUCAGUGGAACUUUCUGUGGUCAUUAGCAUAUUUGACAUACUUUUGAGCAAUAUACAUUUUUUGUCAGGAGAAGGUACCUGCCAUCUAUUGGUUACAGAAACACAAAUGUGUCCUUACAAUUAACAUGUUAUCUCUAGAAGGUAGGUUUGAAGGUUUUAUUUUUCUUUAGCUAGGCUUUUAUAUAUAAUAUGUACAGAGAAUUUCCUGUGCAUGAAGGGCCACAUGGACCACCCAAAGGCAUCCUUUCAAAAGACCCAUGAAUUAGCUAUUGCUCUUAUUUGAUGACGCGGCCUUAUAAAAUCACUGGCCUAGGCUUACGUCCCCAAAACAAUGACCGAAGUCAGACUUCAAACCCACACUAGAGUCCAUGCUCUAAGCACCUGGGAUAAUACUUUUUCCACAAUUAAUUAAUUAAUUAAUUAGAAAAACAAGAGAAUUAAACAUAAAAGUAGUCUGACAACUUUGUUAUUGUAUUUUGCUUUUUGUUGCCAUUGUUUUGCUUUGUUGCUUUUGUUUUGUUUUGUUUCGAUAUGGAGUUUCUCAGUGCAACCAACCCUGGCUGUCCUGGACUCACUUUGUAGACCAGGCUGGCCUUGAACUCACAGAGAUCCACCUGCCUUUGCCUUCUGAGUGCUGGGAUUAAAGGGUUAUGCCACCCCCAUGCCCAGCUCUGACAACUUUUUAAAUCUGUUUCCAAACCAAAUGCAGGUACUUGAAGUGAACUGGCAAGCAAUCUCCCACUAACACGUAAGAUGUUUCUAGAGCUUAAUUAUGUGGCUAGGCUGGUCUCAAAGAUCAUUCGUGAGCAUGCGUGCAUGCACGAGUGUGUGGGUGUGUGCUUUCUUUAUCCCCCAAAACACAAAACCUUAGGUCUGAUAUGCUAACGGUUACUCUUUUAAUGACAGGAGGGGAUAAUUUUAGACUCUUCUUCUGACGCAUGGUAUUUUCAAAUUCUCUGUCAUGGCAAGUACAACUUUGGUAGGAGGCAGAGGCAAAGGACGGGGGUUACUUUACCCUGCUUUUUAGCUUCUUAGGGUGCCACCCCAGUACAGUUUCCUAAGGUGCUUCUCGAACAAUUGCUUAUCUUCUCCUUCUUUCUCUCCUGGGACGACCUAAGGCCGCAUGAAUUUGAGCUUCCUUUAGGGAAAACCUAUGUUGGUGCCUCCAGGCAAGGGACACAAUCCAGGACCUCCACAGAGUUGGCAAAAUACCAAGAGAUAAGGCUGACUUAAAAGUUUUACUUCUCUGGCCUGUCUACACUUUGGCAGCUCAGAGGCCAAAGACUGCUUAUCGGGUGGGGCUCAUUAGUGGUAAAGUCCCUUGACUCCUGGGGACUUCGGCUGAUCAUUAAAAACUCAUGUUAAGGUUCCCAAAAAGACCUCCAUGAAGGCAACUUCAUAAUUUUUCUUGCUCCCAAAGGAGAGGGGUUGUACCACAGAGGGACUAAAGAAGAACAGGCUUCCUGCCCUCAUGCAUGCUAUGCUCUUGUUUUAUAAUGCAGUGAUGAUACAUUCAGUGAAUGCCUGCUGGAGUCAAGAGAAUGUUCUAGUUGAUGGGAAGGUUCUAUGGUUUGAAUCUGAAAUGUCCCCAUCAGGUUAAACUUACCAAGUGUGGGAGAAAUCCUCCAGGUGCUUUUCAAAACAGGUCUUUGUGGACAUUUUAACGCCCAGCCAUCUAGCAGCUAGAAUUAAAGGUACGAUUCUCAGUAUAUGAUAUUCUGAAAAAGGCAGCAUAUAAGAGAGAGCAAAGUUACAAAGGUUGAAAUGAAUGGAGGUCAAAGUUUACUACAAAUAAGCAGAAGGGAAACUUGGAAACGACAGCCUGUCCCUCGUUUGAUCGCUGUGUCAUCACACAAUGGUACACAGUGGCCCAAACUUGUAGGACUAUAUUCUCCAUCACCAUGUUUGGGGGUGAAGAAAAAAGCAAACGAGAUGUACCACACAAAGCAUCUUAGGCGCAGUGCCUGUGGACAUUUUACAAUUAGAAAACGGGAAUCGGUGGUAAAAAUCCUCUCCAAUACUUUUCCUGGCAUCUCAAAGGCCGAUACACAAGAACUGCUCACAUCAAUACCAAGAGUCGGCCCCACCCACUCAAUCACAUAACCAAUCUCUCUUGCCCCUUUUCCAGCCACACUUACUUUUACUUACUUCUGCCUCUUGGUGUUAAGUCCAUAACAAAACAACAUCAAAGGUUGCUUUGAAAGGACUUAGAAAGAAGACAUGAGGUAUGUCUCUGUAGUAGGCUUGUCAAUAGAAAUGGGGGCUAAUACACGUCCUCGCCUGGUAGCACGUUCUUCCCCAAACUUCUUUCCCCGCUCAUUUGAGCUAAACCAAAACUGUAAACUAGACUAGAGUGGGCUGACAAGAGGCCUUGAGGAUGUAUGUGAACAUGCUGACCCACCUCCAAACUGCAAAAGGAAACACAAAACCCACAGAGAUGAAUCCAGUCAUCCAAAAAGAUGGAGGAACGUGCUAUGGAAGGACUUUGCUUAGUAGCAAUGACAGAAAUCUGGACAUUGGAAUGUAGCUUAGUUCAUGGAGGGCUCACCUAGCACAAGGGUCACUCUACAUUUGACCCCCAGCACUACAUCAAUUAGGAGUGGUGGGAGUCCCUGUAAUCCCUGCACCGAGAGGACAGUGUCAAGUCCAGAGGCAUCGUUAGUUAAGUAUUGAGUUCAAGGCUAUGCAGAGAGAUAUGAAAGCCUGUCUCAUAACAAAAACAAAAGAUACUGAGAUCAUCCCAUAUGGAAAGCUACUAAAUUUUAAGGUCUUUUUGUUAAAGCAAUAUAAUUCUUAAUCCUGUAUUUUAUCGCUAAAUUUACAACAACCUUAAGGGUACUUGACCCGGAAUAAAGGACUAAAAUUCUUUUUAAUUAAUUAUUUUAUUUAUUUACAUCCCAAAUGUUGCUCCCUCCUGAUGCCCCCUUACAGAGUUCUUCCAUGCAUCCCCUCAUUUGCCUCUGAGACUGUGUCCCUGACCCUGGGCAUCCCCUUUCCUUGGGGUAUCAAGUCUCUACUGGAUUAGGUGCAUCCUCUCCCACUGAGGCAGACAAGGCAGUCCUCUACUACACAUGAGCCCAGGCCUCGAACAAGUUCAUGUAUGCUCUUUGGUUGGCAGCUUAAUCUCUGGGAGUUCCCAGGGGUUCAGGUUAGUUGACACUGCUGGUCUUCCUAUGGGGUUGCUAUCCCCAUCAGUUAAAGAACUAAAAUGAACUCUCUUGGGUAGACAAAUUCUAGGAAAAUGUUGCACUCAGUUUUGUAAUUACAUGAUCUUGAGUGGGAGGAAAGAUAGAAAGUUUUACUAACUUAAAAGCAGGAGAUAAGACAAGAGCUGUUGACUGGAAAGUUGCUGGGUUUUGGACAUACAGAGCAUGUGGGAGCUAGAGAGGUAGAGGCUGAUCUUGCCAUGGAGAGACUUUGUAGGACUAGACAAGCCUGAAAGGACUUCUACAGUAUUUGAGAAAAAUCUAAUAGGUAAGAAGGGGAUAGGAACUGCACUGGGUUGGGAGGGGUUUCUGAUGGAUCCUAUUUGCUUGAUAGUUACACUUCAGUAUUUUUAUUUACUGAGGGUGGAGCCUGUGUGUGAAUAUCUGGAGGCUCAGAAAUUGUGUCUAUUAUGUUUCAUCUUACUCUUUGAGAAAGGGUCUCUCAGUGAAUCUGGAGCUCACAAAUUGGCUUAGCCGGGAGCCGCUCCCCCCACACCAUGCAAGGGAAUGAUAGACGCUUAGCUUUUUAGGUAAGUUCUGCGGAUCCCAAAUCAGGUCACCAUACUCUCACAUGCUAAGCACUUUAUCGCUAGUCUUGAAGGUAGAUCUUAAAAGAGCUUUGCCAAGAAUUUGGUAAGAGGUAGAUGACCACUUUGUCUCCCUUCUCAGAGCUGAAGCAUGUAAACUGUGUGCACGUGAGCAUGUGAGUGUGUGUGUGUGUGUGUGUGCAUGUGAGAGACUGUGUGUGUGUUUAUGCAUGUGUAUGUGCACUUGUAUGCUUAGGGGUGCAUUUGGAGGCUAAGUAUUCCUUCAUAUGUCUUCCCUCAAAAGCCAUCCACCUUCACUUUCUAUAUUUUUGAGUCAAGGUCUCUCACUGUCCUGGAACUCACCAUGAAGGUUAGGAUGACUGAACGGUGAAUUGCAUGGAUCUGUCUACCUGCUUCUGCCUGCACUAGUCAUGGUAUUACUGGCACAGGCUUCUCUACCAAGCUUUUUCAUGUUGCUUCAGGUAUGUGUGCAUGGUGGCAGGGGCUGGGGGUUGUCACGCUCAAGUUCUCAUGCUUACAAAGCACUUUUCUGACCGAGCUAUUUCUAAACUCCUUUUCAGACAAAGUCCAACUAGAGGAGGCAGCCACAGAGUGCUGAGCUGGAGCCCAGGCAACAUGGUCUUCUCUGAGAUUGGAAGAGUAUGGUUUCUAAUAGCUGCUGGCAACCACAUUUCUCCACUUAUUCCUCCUCUCUCCUUGACCUCAGGGUAGCCUAUGAUCAACAGGGAUGGCUUAGGGAAUGAAAUCACUACAGAAAAUCAGGUCAUGAGGUGGAUCUAAAAAUACAUUGUUCCUCUGAGAUGAAUUUAAUAACUUAAACACACACACACACAUACACACACACACACACACACACACACACACACACACACACACACCUUGUUUCUUUCCCUGCAAACCAUUGGCUCCAAAUAAGGAAUGGAAUUGUACGUCACUGUACGAAAACUCACACCCAUCGCCCCCACCCCCAGUCCACCACUCUUUUGUUCUCUCUCAAACUCUCUUCCAUUCCUAUUGUCUCAUCUCAUCAUUACAUGAUGUGAUAUAGCAUUGUGUGAGACAAGCCCUGCUCAGGUUAAAUUUUAGUCAUGUGAGAAGCCCCAGCCAGUACUGUCUAUAAGGCUGUGUGAUUAGUUACAAAGCAGUUAGCUGGAGAAAGGAAGUGUCAGCAUUCAGAUGCACAAAAAAUUCAGAUGCAUGAAAAGAGUCAGAAUCUGCCAAACAAAAUGCUUUCCUUAGAGCCGAGUCAAUAUUCUCUCAGGGACAGACCUGAGGAACCAGGCAGCUGCAUCUGUUUAGAGUUUCCCAUGUAUCUCUCACCUCUUCCUUCAUCAGCCAGCUCUAACCCAAAAGCUGAAGCUCUCUUCACCCAGCCUCCCUCUUCUCAGCAUGGGACACAAGUAGGGAAAGAGAGAGAGCCAGCUGUCACUGAACAGUUAUAUCAUCUGCCCUUUCCUUAUCUUUCCCUCCUUUGCACACAUUCAGAUGCUCUUUCCUGUUUAUCUGUCUGCAAGAAGUUCGAGUUGUCCUUACCAUCCUCAUGCUCCACUUACUGAAUACCUACUACAUCUGAAGCACCAUGUUUGUAGGUAUAAAUAUAUGUAUGUGUGUGUAUGGAGUAACUGCUGUAGGUAAAACACAGCAAAGUUAAUGGAAUAGUAAGGCUCAUUUGACCUGAUGCUACAACUGAGGAUGAGCAUUGCCAAAAGCCGCACAGCUUCAGUGGCGUUUCUAGGAAUUUAAACUUGUCUCCUCCAAAAGAAGCUUUAGGCUAUACUGAUAAUCCUUUAGAAAAUCAAGUGUGUUUGAAUAGUUUUGUCACCCUUCCUUCCUUCCCUCCUUCCUUCCUUCUUUCCUUCCUUUCUUCCUUUCUUUUCCUUUCUUUCUCUCUCCCUUCCUUCCUCCCUCCCUCCCUCCCUCCCUCCCUCUCUCUCUCUCUUUCUUUCUUUCCUUUCUAUUUACUUUACAUCCCUCUCACUUCCUCCUAGGCAUCUCCUCCCAUAAUCCAUCCCCUGUUCUCCCUUCCCUUCUCCUAUGAGAGGGUGGAGGACCCCCUUGGGUCCCUGCCCCCCCAAGGCACAGUCCAGCUAGAAGAACGUAUCCUAUGCACAGGUAACAGCUUUUGGGACAGUUCCCACUCCAGUUGUUCGGGACCCACGUGAAGACCAAGUUGCACAUCUGCUACAUAUGUUGGCACCCUUCCAACAAUGGCGUUUUAAAGUUUUUUAAACUACUUUUAGUAAGUGCAUGAAGUAUGAGUUUCUUGAUGGCAUUCCCUUGUGGGUGUUUCAGUGCAUUUCGCUCUGUUUAGUGCACUUUGCUCUUGUUUGUCUCCAGAACAAUCCUUUCUACCUCUCCGCUUCUGCCUAGUCCCUUUCCUCCACUCGAAUAGUAUCCCCAUUGCUUUCAUGUCAUGUACACACAUAAACACACACAUAUAGAAAUAUGCAUUGUAACUCAGGGUUCUGCAUAUGAGAGAUCACGUAAUAUUGUUUUCCUUUCUGUUAUCAGUGCUCUCUCUUCAUUUCCCUCCCGUAUCCCCAAAGUCUUCUUUCUACCACUGUGUGCAUCACCUUUUUUUUUUUUUUUAAAAAAUCUACUCAUAUGCUGAUAGGCAUCUAGACUGAUUCUACAUCUUGGCUGUUAUGACUAGGGCUUCCCUAAACAUUUCUGUGUGAGCAUCUUUGUGAUGCUUUAUUAGAUUUCAUUGUAUAUAUGCCCUUGAACAAAAGAGCUGGAUCAUAUGGUAGCUGUAUUUUUAGUUUUUUUGUUUUUUUGUUUUUUGUUUUUUGUUUUUUGGUUUUUUUUGGUGGAACCACUGUACUGAUUCACAUAGUGUUCGAAACAGCUUACAAUAUGCUCUUUUCAAGCUAUAGAAAUGCCCUUGCAACUUCUACUGUCUCGUGAACUUCUAAGGGUUUUAAGAAUUCUAAGAUUAUCUUUUCUCAAAGACAUGUAUACUUGAUAGCUAAGUCUUAGAGAACAAAGGAGCUUAGGGACCUCAUGGACCUGUGGCUGAGUCUCAGAGCUUGGGAACCAGGCAGGGAAGAGCUGUCCUGCUCAGCUUUAGUGAAGGAGUCUUCCCAAGGACUUGAGACUACUCAAUGUCUUAGCAGAACCCCACCCUCUCAAAACAGCUACACAGAAAUCCUCCAAUUUAUUCACACCAAAAAGACAAUGCUUCAAGGCCACUGCUCUAAAUCCACAGAGCCUGAGGAAGUGUGAGGACAGUUUUAUAAAUAUAGCAAUUCAAAUCCCUGGUGUGGCUUGUAUCAGAUGGCCCAGGUGGUGGUUUUCUAGCAAAUAAAAACAUGCUCUUUGGACAUUCAUCCCCUUGGGUCCCCAGGAUAUGUCUUUCUCUCUCUGCUCUUUACAAUCCAAAACAUUCCAGUUGGCAAAACAAUAGACUUUACCCCUGGUAGACCACUGUGAGUUGACUUUAGACAAUGAUUGUUCUAUUUCCAGAAAGUUACUGGGGAUGGAAGAAGGAGGCCUCAGAAAGCCAGUCCCAGUUAGAUACCACCUCAGGGGCUCCUGCUCCACAGACCUUCCAACCCAGACCAUUUCCAGUGUUUGCACUUCCUUAAAGAGCUAGAGGAUGUUUUUUGUUCUGCUCUAGAAUGGUGUAUAUGAAUUUCUGGUCCCGCAGCCCUCAUGUGUGCUGACCUGUAAGCUAGGAGAUACAGUUCAACAAUAGAGCGGUUGCUUUCUUUUCUUCCCACAGUGUUCUGCUGUGUACAGGAAGAAAGGUUGAGUAAGCGCUGCUCUGGGCAUUCGAUUGGCCCUUUGCUGUAGGUUUGUGGAAACAAAUGUUUCCCUGGGGGUUUUCUAUGGUAGCUACAUUUUUCUUCUUCACUAAAUGAGUCAUUAAUAUUUUAAUAUGGAGCUGGGCCUCAUGUCGACAAUUUAUAUGCAGGAAAACACCCUCCUUUUUCCUCAAAGCAAUGAGAUCCCCCACUCCCCACCCCUAAAACCCACUAGGAGGACAACUUAAAAAUAAGUAAACAUUUGGGUGGUCUGUUGAUAUUCACAAAGCACAUUUGAAAUUAACUAAUUUGCCUUCUAUGAGAAACAGAUUUUAACGCUGUUCAAAGAGUUGCUUCUUUGAAAUUAAGUAGCACAAGUUGUCUCUGCAUGUCCUCUAACUUGUUUAGACUGUAGUCCUAAGGGCAGCAUUUGCUAUUGAGGGGAAACAGGUCGCCAAAUCUAGGGACAGAAGGCUACAAGGAUUUCAACCAUCAACAGCAAAGAGGCAAAAGAAGUCUUAGUAUUUAUGAUUUUGUAUUUUAAAAAUUUGUUUCUUUCUUAUCCUCUUCCUCUGGAAAACUCUCUCUGCCCUAGGGGAACCACCCUUGUAAACUGCAUUCUUGAUGCUCUGGGAUUAACUAACUUCAAGUUGGGUUUAAAGAGCUAGACAUUAGCCAGAAAGCCAUAGGGAAGGGAGAGGUUGCAGGCUUUUCUGGUCCCACAAGUCCUGUAAUCCUUUACCAAUACACCCUUCUGUGGAUCUUCAGCCCAAGGGGCCGUCAGGAAUUCUGAGCUUGUUAGUCUCUGGGCAUCUUCCUAAUUCUCCUGUUUCCUAAACCACUCCCACACCUCCCUUAAUGAACAACUUUCAAUAUAAUCACUUAACUGCCAGGAUUCCAAAAAGUGAGUCUGCUGGCUUUUCCCGAGAGAGCCUUAAGAGUAGUAGGAAUGGUGUCUUCAUGAUGACUCAAGAGCAAAUGGAUCGAUUACAAUCCCUGUGUGCUUUUUCCUAAGUUUUCUGAUAUCCUAUACUAAGCCUUGCAAGGUACAAUCUCAGAACUGGAGGCUGGAAAAGUCCACUAAAGUCAUGAACCGUGAGGCAGGAACCACUGACAGAGUACUUAGAGCCAAAGCUUGGGAAUCUCCAAAGGAAAGAAUUCUUAAAUAGAAAUAUUAAACUUUCUUUUUGUAGAUAUUUUUAAUAGUGUAUAUUAGCUAUCCAAAACGGUGGGCUUCUGUACGAUAAUUUCAUAUGGGCCUAUUCACCUUGCUCAUUACUCUACCUUUAUAAAAUAUUUUCUAUGAAUGGCCCUGGGUAAAUGUGGACACUUUCUUUGUUUACUAAUAGCUAUGAACUUGUCAUUAACUACUGCUGUUUCUAGUGGCAGUGACAGCCAAGUAGCAUUUGGCCUUGCAAACAUGUCAGUAUUGAAGUGAUGAUGAGCUUUCCUUUUACAGACAUAUAGCAUGGCAUAAGCUUCACCCCUUUUCGUUACAGAUUCUGCACAUUUUUGGGAUGUUUGAAAUUAGCAAGCAUUGCCACUAUGGGAUUCCAGAUUGCUGUCAUCGCUCCCAAUUGAAAGCCCAUGACUGCUAGAGCCCUCCCCUCUCAUCCCCUGGGAACUACUAACAUCUGGGCCCUAUGGCUUUGCCUACUGUAGAAUUUCAUGAUUGUGCUUCAGGAAAGGAAGAGAGAUUCAACCAGGACACCGUCAGCUUCUGCUGUCUCAAGUCUGCCUAGGGGGCAGCCCUCUAUAACUGAACACUGGUGAACCUGAUCUUACGAGGACUGUGACAGAUCCUUUUCUGGCGGGUAGCUCGUGCUGUGUGAAACGAGCCAUUAUCUGCGGUCACCUCACCGCGCAGCAGCAGCAGAACUUCAUGCUACUGCCGAGAAGUGGCUCAGUACUGCAUCACCAGUCCACAUCCCCUUCAGUCUCUCGCAGCUACCCUUCUGCUCUGCACUGCUAUGAGAUCAACGCUAUCUGGAUUCCAAUCUGAGCAGCUCACAAGGCAAGUACAACCAUCCUCGGCAUAGAGGAGGAAGGUGAGCCUCUCGAAGUGAGACCCCGUGGUUCCCAGGCAUCUUGCAUCCUGAAUACAUGACACCAUUCAGAGAA